Long non-coding RNA from Bombus impatiens (common eastern bumble bee), 223 nucleotides. RefSeq lists it as uncharacterized. NCBI's taxonomy places the organism in Eukaryota, Metazoa, Arthropoda, Insecta, Hymenoptera, Apidae. The transcript has 3 exons. The record is from RefSeq and is a predicted model, not a curated record.
GGUUCGCAAGAGAGGCACUGCCACUGCUACCGCCAUGGUUUUCUGCACUGUGUGACGAUACACCUAGUCACGGUGGUGGUUUGAGAAUCGCGGGCACGGGUGAUGAAGCGUCCGAGACGUUGAUUGGUCGAGAGGCUCCCUUCCGGUUUAGACUACCAUAACGAAAUAUUCAAGAUGGUAGAACAUUUUUAAACAAUUCGUAAGUAGAUUCAACAUUAAUUUA